Molecule: non-coding RNA, 21 nt
Organism: Caenorhabditis elegans
Lineage: Eukaryota; Metazoa; Nematoda; Chromadorea; Rhabditida; Rhabditidae
Source: Ensembl
UUCUGUCGCGCUUUUGACUUU